Non-coding RNA from Deltaproteobacteria bacterium RBG_19FT_COMBO_46_12, 90 nucleotides. The record is from Rfam. Lineage: Bacteria; Deltaproteobacteria.
GGAGAGAUGCCCGAGAGGCCGAAGGGGCACGACUGGAAAUCGUGUGUUCCGACAAAAUCGGGACCGAGGGUUCGAAUCCCUCUCUCUCCG